This 380-nucleotide RNase P RNA is filed under the name Pedobacter sp. RNAcentral's name for it is "RNase P RNA component class A". It matches the Rfam family "Bacterial RNase P class A". From Rfam's summary of the family: Ribonuclease P (RNase P) is a ubiquitous endoribonuclease, found in archaea, bacteria and eukarya as well as chloroplasts and mitochondria. Its best characterised activity is the generation of mature 5'-ends of tRNAs by cleaving the 5'-leader elements of precursor-tRNAs. The record is from RNAcentral. Lineage: Bacteria; Pseudomonadati; Bacteroidota; Sphingobacteriia; Sphingobacteriales; Sphingobacteriaceae.
CAAGCAAGUCGUUCUAUCGCUUCCCUUUGUGGAAGAGGAAAGUCCGGGCAACAUAGAGUAUCCUGCUUCCUAACGGGAAGGACUCACUUCGGUGAGGCCGGAAAGUGCAACAGAAAAUAACUACCCCUUCGGGGGAAAAGGUGAAAACGUGAGGUAAGAGCUCACGACAAUGCAUGGUGACAUGUAUUGUGGAAAACCCCAGGAGUUGAAAGACCAAAUAGGUUCUGAACGUGAAGUGGCUCGCUUCCUUGUACCGUACAACCGGUGCUUUCAGAAUGGGUAGGUCGUUUGAUCGUGCUAGUGAUAACACGACUAGAUAAAUGAUAGAAGUUUCUUCAUUAGAAGAAAUACAGAACCCGGCUUAUAGGCUUGCUUUUUUC